Molecule: long non-coding RNA, 547 nt
Organism: Eriocheir sinensis (Chinese mitten crab)
Lineage: Eukaryota; Metazoa; Arthropoda; Malacostraca; Decapoda; Varunidae
Exons: 3
Source: RefSeq, a predicted model, not a curated record
CCCUCAUCACCACCCUCACUUCACCACCAUCAUCACCAUCAACACCACCAGAAGAGGAGAUGAAAAAGGAGACUAGUUCAAGGAGGGGAGAGUGGAGGAAGUGGAGGAGGAUGGAGGGAGGAUACAAGGGAUUGGUUAGUCUCCUUAUCCUCACCUUCCUCCUCCCUCCUCCACUUGUCUCCUCUUCUUCCUCCCCCUCCCCCUCCUCCUCCACCUCCUUGGAUUGGGAAGUGUUGGUCCCCGCCGUGGCAAAGGUAGUUAACAGGAUGUGGCAUCAGCAGGGAGAUGAGGUCAACUUAUUGGGUCACGUGUGUCUGGUGAACAUGACCUUUGACCCCGCCUCCCCCCGCGCCGCCGCCACGCUCACCUGCCCCACCUGGACGGAGUUGGAAGGACGAGCCACUCCUCUGAACCAGCACGGGGUAGCGAGAGGCGUAGUGACCAACCUAUUCCGUCAGCUGAUUGCCAAUGACCUCGUGACAGCCCAGCAGACCGCGGAUUGGCUGAGAGAGGUCAACAGGGGGAGGGAGAACACGCAACGGAGACU